AUACGUAGGGGGCGAGCGUUGUCCGGAAUGACUGGGCGUAAAGGGCGUGUAGGCGGCGCCGUAAGUCUGGAGUGAAAGUCCUGUUUUCAAGGGGGGAAUUGCUUUGGAUACUGCGGAGCUUGAGUGCGGAAGAGGUAAGUGGAAUUCCCAGUGUAGCGGUGAAAUGCGUAGGGAUUGGGAGGAACACCAGUGGCGAAGGCGACUGACUGGUCCGUUGCGGACCCUCAGACGCGCAAGCGUGGGUAGUAAACGGGAUUAGAGACCCGGGUACUCCUCGCCGUAAACGAUGUGAACUUGGCGUUGGUGGGAUAAACUCCAGCAGUGCCGGAGCAAACGCGAUAAGUUCACCGCCUGGGGACUACGGCCGCAAGGUUGAAACUCAAAGGAAUUGACGG
Molecule: ribosomal RNA, 395 nt
Filed under: uncultured bacterium
Lineage: Bacteria
Description: partial 16S ribosomal RNA
Rfam family: Bacterial small subunit ribosomal RNA
Source: RNAcentral